AACCAUAGAAACCUGCGGAGUACCUGCGGAAGGAUCAUUAACAAUUGUCCACAAUAAAUGGAUAAUUUUAUCCAUAUCCACCUUGUGUGAAUCAAUUGAAGUGUUUGUUGGCAGGUUAACACUCUCGAUUACGAGAGCUUGUGUGAGCCAUGUGCUCGGCCUGCCAAUUUUAUUUGUUUAAACAUGUCUAAAUAAAAUAGCCUGAAAUAUUAAACUUUUAUAAUAAAUACAACUUUCAAC
RNAcentral lists this unclassified non-coding RNA (240 nucleotides) under soil metagenome. RNAcentral's name for it is "partial contains 5.8S ribosomal RNA, internal transcribed spacer 2, and large subunit ribosomal RNA". The record is from RNAcentral.